AUUGCAGCUAAAGAAGGAGAUAUCCAGGUAGGGGAACUAUUGAAAGUCAAAGAGGAGACAUUAGAGUCAUUAUUAGAGACAUUAUUGAUCUUGAAGGGGUAAAGAAGAGUGAGGAAAGAAGAGUCUAGAAAGAAGGAUGUGGGAAUGGAGCAGAGCUACUGGGCAUGAAGGCAGAGCCAGUACCAGUGGAAGGGAAAAAAAAUAGUGGUAAAGAGGAAAAUAAGAACAUUCUGAGGAGAAAGAAUAGAUUUGGUAAUGAUAGAAGAAAAUUGGAUUUGGGGUUCUUAAAUAGCUCUUUGAGAAGUGGCUUUAGGAUGGGCUAGAAGGAUUUCAUCUGACACAUAAUUAGGGAGACAAUAUGCAGGCAUGGCCUGAUGAGAAGAAUUACAACAGGAUAAAGGAUAGAUAUCGAGGGCUGUGGAAGAAGCAGCAGGCCUGGAGUAAGCAAAAUGAAAAUGGAUCCUGAAGAAUGAGUGGCUCCAAAGUUACAAAAGCAAGUGAAGAGGAGAUGAGCAAAUGAAGGGGAAAAAACUCAAAAAGUCUGUGCCUCCCAGAGAGGAUGGCUUCCAGCCUCCUUUCUUGACUCUUCAGCUGAGGAAUUAUUCUCUCUCAUAAGAGGCUUGCAUGGACACAAGGGCAAGGUUCAGGCAGUUCCCCGUGUGUGAAAACCUCUCAGACUGGCACGUUGUAUAAAUUAUGACCCAAAACAUCAGAUUUCUGUUCUUUGUCUGAAUGACAUUUUCACCUGGGAAAUCAUGCAUUCCAUGGAGGCCACAGAAAGACAAGUGAAUGUCAAGGCUCUGUGACAAAUGCCAGCCACCUAAUCUCACUAAACUGCCCAGGAUGGCCUUGAACUUUU
Non-coding RNA from Marmota flaviventris (yellow-bellied marmot), 859 nucleotides. The record is from RefSeq and is a predicted model, not a curated record. NCBI's taxonomy places the organism in Eukaryota, Metazoa, Chordata, Mammalia, Rodentia, Sciuridae.